CUUGUUCUUGUUAAGUUUGGAUGUUCCUUACUUGAUCUUGUAAAAUGAUCUAUUUAAGAAUGAUGAGUGUGGAAUAAACACAACAGCCACUCACCAGGCUAUUGUUCAUUUUUUUCUGUAGCAAAAAAAAGUAGUAAUACAGAAUGUCAAACUACUUUUAAUGAACAGCAUAUUACUGCGCUCCUUAUUACUUACAUCCAUGUAGAUAGGGUGAACACAAUACCUUUUUUAAAGCGCACCUCUGUCCCGGUUCGUUUUCGACAUGCUUUCCACGAGCCCCCAACCACUGCAUAGCUAUGCUGCGGUUUGUACCCCAUUCUGUAAUCAUAGAUAACAACACAGUACACGUUUUUAGAGAUAAACCCAGACAUACCGUUUUUUUGUGUGAGAGAGCACGACUCAGGGUAUUAUCAGAAACAGACGUGCCACUUACAGCAAGAAGCCAGAGGUGUUUUUAUCACUCACGACGGCUUAGGUAAGUGAAACAUUUCGUAAACUCAGUUAUAAAUAGCCAGGUUUUAAAGAAUGGGUUUAAAGAGUGUUUUUAGAGGUGUCCAGACAAGACCAGCAUGAGCACAGGUAACUCUGCGAGAAAAAACAAAUACAAUUACUUUUGUUAUGCUAAAAAGUAUGUGUGUUAACACUACCAUUUAAUUCACACCAGCCGGGUCCUACAAUGCCAUUAACGGAGAUCGUCUGGAAGACCGUUUCAACACCUAUUUUCGUGUGUAUGAACAAGCCUUUCAACAACAACAACAACAGCAGCAGCAACAGCAACAACAAUCGCUACUGACCCCUCAUGCAUACGAAUCGGCUAACCAGCAUCAACCGCCCCUAGCUGACCCUCAGGAAAUUCCAGACGAUGUCCUGCUGAUGCAGUCCCCCGCUGGUGAGGAACAAGAAGAGCAACGAUACAAUCAAGAGGGCCCGGAAGUUCAGGAUAGAGCCGUGCAGCAUCAGACAACUCAGACAGCGUCCCCUCAAGAUGAGCCUGAUCAGAAGCCUGUGAAUCAACCAGCCCCUGGAGAAUCAGCACCGGUCCAGCCAGAGCAACCACGCUCGAGCAGGGCUUUGAUCCGAUCAAGCCGUGCAAAACGGGAGCACUCACCAUCCUCUGACUCCU
Molecule: long non-coding RNA, 1123 nt
Organism: Monopterus albus (swamp eel)
Lineage: Eukaryota; Metazoa; Chordata; Actinopteri; Synbranchiformes; Synbranchidae
Exons: 4
Source: RefSeq, a predicted model, not a curated record